RNAcentral lists this ribosomal RNA (490 nucleotides) under uncultured bacterium. RNAcentral describes it as "partial 16S ribosomal RNA". It matches the Rfam family "Bacterial small subunit ribosomal RNA", at positions 30 to 507 of the family's 1533-position model. The record is from RNAcentral.
AUUGAACGCUGGCGGCAGGCCUAACACAUGCAAGUCGAACGGUAACAGGAAACAGAUUGCUGUUUCGCUGACGAGUGGCGGACGGGUGAGUAAUGUCUGGGAAACUGCCUGAUGGAGGGGGAUAACUACUGGAAACGGUAGCUAAUACCGCAUAACGUCGCAAGACCAAAGAGGGGGACCUUCGCGCCCCUUGCCAUCGGGUGUGCCCAGAUGGGAUUAGCUAGUAGGUGGGGUAACGGCUCACCUAGGCGACGAUCCCUAGCUGGUCUGAGAGGAUGACCAGCCACACUGGAACAGAGACACGGUCCAGACUCCUACGGGAGGCAGCAGUGGGGAAUAUUGCACAAUGGGCGCAAGCCUGAUGCAGCCAUGCCGCGUGUAUGAAGAAGGCCUUCGGGUUGUAAAGUACUUUCAGCGGGGAGGAAGGGAGUAAAGUUAAUACCCUGACUCAUUGACGUUACCCGCAGAAGAAGCACCGGCUAACUCCGUG